UCUGUCUUCACCACAUUGCGUUAAACAAUCUCCACAACCGCCGUCUUCACUCGUUGCCUCACUCCCCGUCUCCGCUCGCCGCACGUCGCUCUUUCCUUCGCCGUCCAACGCCGCUGCCCACCGACGCCGUCCAGCACCGCUUCCCUGGGUCGCUGUCCAUCUCCAUCGCCUCCGGCCCCGUCUCCGUCGAUCUUUCGCCGUCCAGGGUUUGAUGCCAUCACCAGAGGAGGAAAUCAGGCGGAGAAAUGCCAUUCACAAGCUAAAAAAAAGAUAGUAAUGGAAUGGAUUAAGAGGUAGCUUAUCGACACCAACUCCCUAAAAUAUACCUCAGAAGUGCUUCUGCUACAAUAUUGACAUACGGAUCGUAUGGUCUUGGGGUUUCAUAAUUCAGUCAGACAUUGAUGAAUUGUGUGUUGUCCCUUGCUUUGCUAAUAUGGUGGAAGAUGCUUUCGUUGUUUUGUACAACAUACUUGCAAGCAGACCUGAAAUAUCAGAGAUUUAAUGUGUCAAGGAUGCAAAAGUUCCUUUAAUGCGUUUUAAAUUUGAUGGGAUUCCCGUUGAUCUUCCAUAUGCUCAACUUAAAGUGGUAUCCAUUCCAGAGAAUGUGCAUGUCUUCAACCCAUUCUUUAUGAGGAAUAUUGAUGAGAGCAAUUGGAAAAGUUUGUCCGGAAUACGUGCUAAUAGAAGUAUGGAUGCUUUUACCUGGAAACAUAAAUGGAUGCUUUUACCUGGAAACUUAAAUGGAUGCUUUCUGACACCAGUUCUGCUAAACAUAAAUGGAUGCUUUUUGACACCAGUUCUGUUUGGUAGAGUCACUAUGGCUUGGCUGAUAACUGUAAAAGAGAGGAAUUUGCAGAAAGAUCACCUGUUCCAUAAUUUCAGCAAUUUGUGUAUAAUAUGCUUAAUAGUAUUUGGAAUAUAAAUUCAUUUGCCCAUUUUAUUUAACACAUCAAUCACAAUCUGGAUCAGUGGAUCCUUCAGUAAUAUGUUCAUGUUAAGAAUAACAUGAAUUAAUUCAUUUAAACCAAAA
Molecule: long non-coding RNA, 1030 nt
Organism: Ipomoea triloba (trilobed morning glory)
Lineage: Eukaryota; Viridiplantae; Streptophyta; Magnoliopsida; Solanales; Convolvulaceae
Exons: 6
Source: RefSeq, a predicted model, not a curated record